RNAcentral lists this long non-coding RNA (298 nucleotides) under Populus tremula. RNAcentral's name for it is "long non-coding RNA (PTRE_LNC001858)". The record is from RNAcentral. Lineage: Eukaryota; Viridiplantae; Streptophyta; Magnoliopsida; Malpighiales; Salicaceae.
UUCCUAUCACAAUGGAAAUAGGUUGCACCUGCCUCAUGAUCCAGCUUUGCAGCGUUCCUUACAGUUGGCUCUAAGAAGUAGAGAUGAUCAUGAUAAUGAUGAUGCAAGGAGGCACCAACAUGAUGAUCCUGAUGAAGAUGAUCAAGAGAUUGAAACUGAUGAUCAUGAUGAAUUUGAGGAGAAUCAUGCUUCACAUGGGGAUUGCAGGGGCAUACAUGGGAUGUUAGGGGGUUCUGCAAAGAGGCCCAGACAAGGCCAGGGCCAUGAAGAUGCUUGUUUUGGGAAUUCAUCUCAGGAG